CCUACGGGAGGCUGCAGUCGAGAAUCUUCGGCAAUGGGCGAAAGCCUGACCGAGCGACGCCGCGUGAGCGAAGAAGGCCCUAUGGGUUGUAAAGCUCUGUCAGAUUGGGAAGAAAACCUCGUGAUUAAUACCUGCGAGGCUUGACGGUACCAUCAGAGGAAGCACCGGCUAACCCCGUGCCAGCAGCCGCGGUAAUACGGGGGGUGCAAGCGUUGUUCGGAUUCACUGGGUAUAAAGGGUGCGCAGGCGGCCUGUUAAGUCAGAGGUGAAAUCUGUCGGCUCAACCGACAGACUGCCCCUGAAACUGACAGGCUUGAGUCCGGGAGAGGAAGGUGGAAUUCCAGGUGUAGCGGUGAAAUGCGUAAAUAUCUGGAGGAACACCGGUGGCGAAGGCGGCCUUCUGGCCCGGAACUGACGCUCAGGCACGAAAGCUAGGGGAGCGAACGGGAUUAGAUACCCCAGUAGUC
RNAcentral lists this ribosomal RNA (467 nucleotides) under uncultured bacterium. RNAcentral's name for it is "bacterial SSU rRNA". It matches the Rfam family "Bacterial small subunit ribosomal RNA", at positions 338 to 795 of the family's 1533-position model. The record is from RNAcentral.